Pipistrellus kuhlii (Kuhl's pipistrelle) is the source of this 78-nucleotide small nucleolar RNA. RefSeq annotates it as small nucleolar RNA U2-19. The transcript has a single exon. Lineage: Eukaryota; Metazoa; Chordata; Mammalia; Chiroptera; Vespertilionidae. The record is from RefSeq and is a predicted model, not a curated record.
AAACAAUAAAUAAAAUAUAUAUAUUUAAAAAAAAAGACCUUCCAGUCUGCCUGAUGUAUGAUCUCUAUCAUUCUGAGA